AGCACCUCAAGUGGUCAGGAUGAUUAUUGGGCCUAAAGCAUCCGUAGCCGGCUCUGUAAGUUUUCGGUUAAAUCUGUACGCUCAACGUACAGGCUGCCGGGAAUACUGCAAAGCUAGGGAGUGGGAGAGGUAGACGGUACUCGGUAGGAAGGGGUAAAAUCCUUUGAUCUAUUGAUGACCACCUGUGGCGAAGGCGGUCUACCAGAACACGUCCGACGGUGAGGGAUGAAAGCUGGGGGAGCAAACCGG
This 249-nucleotide ribosomal RNA is filed under the name uncultured archaeon. RNAcentral's name for it is "partial 16S ribosomal RNA". It matches the Rfam family "Archaeal small subunit ribosomal RNA", at positions 478 to 727 of the family's 1478-position model. The record is from RNAcentral.